GGGGGUUUAGCUCAUCAGGUAGAGCGUCAGGUUCGCAAUCUGAAGGUGGCCGGUUCGAGUCCGGUAUCCUCCACAA
This 76-nucleotide transfer RNA is filed under the name Lentimicrobiaceae bacterium. Its description in RNAcentral is "tRNA-Ala". It matches the Rfam family "tRNA". From Rfam's summary of the family: Transfer RNA (tRNA) molecules are approximately 80 nucleotides in length. Their secondary structure includes four short double-helical elements and three loops (D, anti-codon, and T loops). The record is from RNAcentral. Lineage: Bacteria; Pseudomonadati; Bacteroidota; Bacteroidia; Bacteroidales; Lentimicrobiaceae.